RNAcentral lists this long non-coding RNA (888 nucleotides) under Vulpes vulpes (red fox). RNAcentral's name for it is "lncRNA (ENSVVUG00000005317.1)". The record is from RNAcentral. Lineage: Eukaryota; Metazoa; Chordata; Mammalia; Carnivora; Canidae.
GUUCCAUUAGAGUAAGUUUCCCACACCUUAUCCAAGCAACUAUGGCUAGAUUGAGGGAUAUUCUUGUGAAGACCCAACAUGGCAACAGGAUCCCAAACUUGGGUGACCCUAGGGAUUUAUGGGAGCAGGUAAUUCUUAGAAAGUGUGAAAAUAAUGGGAGUGGGGCACUUAUAUCAAAAGAUAACUGCUCAGUCUCAUUUAAAGACUACAAUGAAAACAUUAAACCUAAGAAGUAGGUCUCAGUGUUUGACAGAAAGUUGUUAGGUGUGUAACAUAGAAGUAAUAUCAGUGAAUUGACUCAAAUCCUCUUUCAAGGAAACUAGUGGAAAACUGGAGGCUGCAAUGUGAAGUGUCUUAUCUCAAAAAUAAUUAGUUUACUUUUUCUCUGUAUUUCUCUACAGAAAAGGAGUCCAUUCAUUCUCUACAAUUUCUAUAGCAUAUCUUAAUUAAAAUGCCAAGAAGAUAUACCCUAAGAAUGGAGACCAGAGCACUGGGGGCUGUGCAAAUCAUGAAUGGCCUAAUUUACUGUGCAUUGGGGUUUCUUUGUUUUGCAUUAUUUAUCUCAGAAGAGGACAGGAAACAAACUGGUCAUAUCCCUGUUGUUGUUACACUAAUUUACAUAUUUUGGUCAGCACCAUUUGUGAGUAUACCAUAUUGCUAUUGAUUUUAAUUUUUUUUCUAAUCUGUCCAGUGACUUACUCAAGAAAUCAAGUAAUGGAUAAAGACCCAGUGUCUGACUCUGUGGAGCUCAUUUUGCUAUGGAAACACCCAAAAUGGUGGGCAGGGAUAAAGUGUAUACUCAGUCCUUUUAUGUUUGUUGCAUGUUUUGAUAAGUUCCUUGAGAGGGAGAGGUGUGCAUGCAGAGAGAUUUUGAGGGUGUAUCCCUGA